RNAcentral lists this long non-coding RNA (622 nucleotides) under Bos taurus (domestic cattle). RNAcentral's name for it is "long non-coding RNA NONBTAT022151". Lineage: Eukaryota; Metazoa; Chordata; Mammalia; Artiodactyla; Bovidae. The record is from RNAcentral.
UGGUGCUUUAAAAGCAAAGCAGGCAUUAAAAACUGCACCUCUUUUUGUACCAUUGCAUAUUUGAUCACAAAAUGUGAUCAGAACUGACUGACUUUAAGCAAAAUUACCCACCCACUGCAGUCCCCCUUUGUGACUUUUUUUUAGGGGGCAGAAUCUAUUCUGUAACUUAAGAGAGAAAAUGUCAGUCAAGAAUGGUGGGACUGAAAGCACUUACUUUAGUUGAUGUCACUUGCUAUAUAUUUUGGGGCUUCUUUCCUCCACUGAUUUGUGACUUUUGACACUUAAAUUGUGUAGGGCAUUACCAUUUUAUCUUAAAUGCUUUGUUGAGAAAAAAAUUAUAUGGCUAAAUGUUUAAAAAGAUUCAGUCAGGUGUAUUCUUUGGGGUAUAGAGUUACAUUUAUGGUUAUUAAAACUUAGAAAAUGAGAAGAUCCAGUCAUUUGAAUAUCAGGGUGUUUCUUGUAUGGAACUUGUAAUAUUGUAACUUUAAAGAGGUAGAUCAAAAUAGUGUUCCAGAGUGAAGAAACUUACGACCUUAUGUUACUGUCUGUGUAAAAGAAAGGGGUAUUUUUUUUUUUUACAAGAAUUUAUAUUGAGUGGUUUUUUGUUUUGUUUUUCAAGUUU